GCAAUAAUUUGCAAAGGUGUGAACCACAGGCGGUAUCCAAUAUCCAAGAAUCUAAUAUUGAAGCACUUAAUGAUAAAUUAGCUUGUAUCAUAUACAAACUUUUAGCAAUAUUUAUCGAUUUCAUGGCUGCAAGAUAAUCCUUACAAUUUCUCUUCCAGUGGCCCUCUUUGCUAUAGUGAUAAUAAGUACCUUUUACGGAGACCUUCUUCACCUUCUUCUUGGAGAUGCCAGCCA
Molecule: long non-coding RNA, 234 nt
Filed under: Elaeis guineensis (African oil palm)
Lineage: Eukaryota; Viridiplantae; Streptophyta; Magnoliopsida; Arecales; Arecaceae
Description: long non-coding RNA (EGUI_LNC067670)
Source: RNAcentral